Molecule: non-coding RNA, 96 nt
Organism: Trametes coccinea BRFM310
Lineage: Eukaryota; Fungi; Basidiomycota; Agaricomycetes; Polyporales; Polyporaceae
Source: the annotation of a GenBank genome assembly
GGCGAGAUGGCCGAGCGGUCUAAGGCGCCAGACUAAGGUGGUUCAUCAGUUGAAAUCUGGUCCGAAAGGGCGUGGGUUCGAAUCCCACUCUCGUCA